Molecule: ribosomal RNA, 406 nt
Filed under: uncultured bacterium
Lineage: Bacteria
Description: partial 16S ribosomal RNA
Rfam family: Bacterial small subunit ribosomal RNA
Source: RNAcentral
AUUGAACGCUGGCGGCAGGCCUAACACAUGCAAGUCGAACGAGUGGCGGACGGGUGAGUAAUGUCUGGGAAACGGCCGGAUGGAGGGGGAUACUUACUGGAAACGUUAGCUAAUCCCGCAUACCAUAGGAUGGGCCCAGAUGGGAUUAGCUAGUUGGUGGGGUAACGGCUCACCAAGGCGACGAUCCCUAGCUGGUCUGAGAGGAUGACCAGCCACACUGGAACUGAGACACGGUCCAGACUCCUACGGGAGGCAGCAGUGGGGAAUAUUGCACAAUGGGCGCAAGCCUGAUACAGCCAUGCCGCGUGUAUGAAGAAGGCCUUCGGGUUGUAAAGUACUUUCAGCGGGGAGGCGUUACCCGCAGAAGAAGCACCGGCUAACUCCGUGCCAGCAGCCGCGGUAAUUC